GUGGAUUAGAUACCCUGGUAGUCCACGCCCUAAACGAUGUCUACUAGUUGUCGGGUCUUAAUUGACUUGGUAACGCAGCUAACGCGUGAAGUAGACCGCCUGGGGAGUACGGUCGCAAGAUUAAAACUCAAAGGAAUUGACGGGGACCCGCACAAGCGGUGGAUGAUGUGGAUUAAUUCGAUGCAACGCGAAAAACCUUACCUACCCUUGACAUGGCAGGAAUCCUGAAGAGAUUUGGGAGUGCUCGAAAGAGAACCUGCACACAGGUGCUGCACGGCCGUCGCCAACU
RNAcentral lists this ribosomal RNA (289 nucleotides) under uncultured bacterium. RNAcentral describes it as "partial 16S ribosomal RNA". It matches the Rfam family "Bacterial small subunit ribosomal RNA", at positions 773 to 1060 of the family's 1533-position model. The record is from RNAcentral.